GAUGAACGCUGGCGGCGUGCCUAAUACAUGCAAGUCGAACGAAGCCAAUCUGGUGCUUGCACCAGAGAAAGCUUAGUGGCAGACGGGUGAGUAACACGUAGGGAACCUGCCUUCUACACUGGAAUACCUUCGGGAAACUGAAGUUAAUACCAGAUAUGCUGUGAGUACCGCAUGGUACAAACAGGAAAGAUUUUAUCGGUAGAAGAUGGCCCUGCGCCUGAUUAGCUAGUUGGUGAGGUAAAGGCUCACCAAGGCUCCGAUCAGUAGCCGGCCUGAGAGGGUGAUCGGCCACACUGGGACUGAGACACGGCCCAGACUCCUACGGGAGGCAGCAGUAAGGAAUAUUGCACAAUGGGCGCAAGCCUGAUGCAGCAACGCCGCGUGAAGGAAGAAGGCUCUCGGGUCGUAAACUUCUUUAGGCAGGGAAGAAUAAUGACGGUACCUGCAGAAUAAGCCCCGGCUAACUACGUGCCAGCAGCCGCGGUAAUACGUAGGGGGCAAGCGUUAUCCGGAUUUACUGGGUGUAAAGCCUGAGUAGGCGGUUUUUUAAGCCAUGUGUGAAAUUUUGAGGCUCAACCUCAUUUAGCACAAGGAACUGGAGAACUAGAGUAUGGGAGAGGUAAGUGGAAUUCCUAGUGUAGCGGUAAAAUGCGUAGAUAUUAGGAGGAACACCAGUGGCGAAGGCGACUUACUGGACCAAAACUGACGCUGAGUCACGAAAGCGUGGGGAGCAAACAGGAUUAGAUACCCUUGGUAGUCCACGCUGUAAACGAUGAGUACUAGGUGUUGGGAUGAAAAUCUCGGUGCCGUAGCUAACGCAUUAAGUACUCCACCUGGGAAGUACGGUCGCAAGACUGAAACUCAAAGGAAUUGACGGGACCCCGCACAAGCGGUGGAGCAUGUGGUUUAAUUCGAAGCAACGCGAAAAACCUUACCAAGUCUUGACAUCCUUCUGACAGACCUAGAGAUAGGUAAUCCCUUCGGGGCAGGAGAGACAGGUGGUGCAUGGUUGUCGUCAGCUCGUGUCGUGAGAUGUUGGGUUAAGUCCCGCAACGAGCGCAACCCUUGCUUUUAGUAGCCAUCAGGUAAUGCUGGGCACACUAGAGGGACUGCCGCGGAUAACGCGGAGGAAGGUGGGGAUGACGUCAAAUCAUCAUGCCCCUUAUGAUUUGGGCAACACACGUGCUACAAUGGCUGUAACAAAGUGAAGCGAAGCCGCGAGGUGGAGCCAACCACAAAAAAGCAGUCUCAGUUCGGAUUGUAGUCUGCAACUCGACUACAUGAAGCUGGAAUCGCUAGUAAUCGCGAAUCAGCAUGUCGCGGUGAAUACGUUCUCGGG
RNAcentral lists this ribosomal RNA (1339 nucleotides) under uncultured bacterium. RNAcentral describes it as "16S ribosomal RNA". It matches the Rfam family "Bacterial small subunit ribosomal RNA", at positions 28 to 1378 of the family's 1533-position model. The record is from RNAcentral.